Molecule: ribosomal RNA, 253 nt
Filed under: uncultured bacterium
Lineage: Bacteria
Description: partial 16S ribosomal RNA
Rfam family: Bacterial small subunit ribosomal RNA
Source: RNAcentral
UACGUAGGGGGCUAGCGUUGUCCGGAAUCAUUGGGCGUAAAGAGCGCGUAGGCGGCCAGAUAAGUCCGGUGUGAAAGUCACAGGCUCAACCUGUGAAUGCCGCUGGAAACUGUCUGGCUAGAGUCCGGAAGGGGCGAGUGGAAUUCCUGGUGUAGCGGCGAAAUGCGCAGAUAUCAGGAGGAACACCAAUAGCGAAGGCAGCUCGCUGGGACGGUACUGACGCUGAGGCGCGAAAGCGUGGGGAGCAAACAGG